Molecule: ribosomal RNA, 114 nt
Filed under: uncultured bacterium
Lineage: Bacteria
Description: partial 16S ribosomal RNA
Rfam family: Bacterial small subunit ribosomal RNA
Source: RNAcentral
CGUUCCCGGGCCUUGUACACACCGCCCGUCACACCAUGGGAGUUGGUUUUACCCGAAGGCGUUUCGCCAACCGCAAGGAGGCAGGCGACCACGGUAGGGUCAGCGACUGGGGUG